This 417-nucleotide ribosomal RNA is filed under the name uncultured eukaryote. RNAcentral describes it as "SSU rRNA". It matches the Rfam family "Eukaryotic small subunit ribosomal RNA", at positions 592 to 1016 of the family's 1831-position model. The record is from RNAcentral.
CAAUAGCGUAUAUUAAAGUUGUUGCGGUUAAAAGCUCGUAGUUGGAUUUCUGCUGAGGACGACCGGUCCGCCUCUGGGUGAGUAUCUGGCUCGGCCUUGGCAUCUUCUUGGUGAACGUAUCUGCACUUGACUGUGUGGUGCGGUGGCCAGGACUUUUACUUUGAGGAAAUUAGAGUGUUUCAAGCAGGCUCACGCCUUGAAUACAUUAGCAUGGAAUAAUAAGAUAAGACCUUGGUUUAUUUUGUUGGUUUCUAGAUCCGAGGUAAUGGUUAAUAGGGAUAGUUGGGGGCAUUCGUAUUUAACUGUCAGAGGUGAAAUUCUUGGAUUUGUUAAGGACGGACCACUGCGAAAGCAUUUGCCAAGAAUGUUUUCAUUGAUCAAGAACGAAAGUUAGGGGAUCGAAGACGAUUAGAUACC